RNAcentral lists this ribosomal RNA (32 nucleotides) under Elsinoe leucospermi. Its description in RNAcentral is "partial 18S ribosomal RNA". Lineage: Eukaryota; Fungi; Ascomycota; Dothideomycetes; Myriangiales; Elsinoaceae. The record is from RNAcentral.
UUUCCGAAGGUGAACCUGCGGAAGGAUCAUUA